This is a long non-coding RNA of Hemicordylus capensis (graceful crag lizard), 2803 nucleotides long. RefSeq lists it as uncharacterized. NCBI's taxonomy places the organism in Eukaryota, Metazoa, Chordata, Lepidosauria, Squamata, Cordylidae. The record is from RefSeq and is a predicted model, not a curated record. The transcript has 5 exons.
GGAAGGCAGCAUGACAGGCUGCUUCAGCAAAUGCCAAAGGGGAGCGGGUGGAACAGACCGGCUUGGCUUCCCUCCACAACAUUUCACUCUGUUGGUUUCCAAGGAACGUCUCCCUGCCUUUCCAGCGUGACCAGUUUCCAAAAGCAGCACAUGACAAGAUUUUAUUUAUUUAAAAAAAAAAAAACAACCCACGAAGCAGGAAGGCUGAGGGCCAGGCUGCACCACAGGCAGCUGCACACAAAGCAUCCAGAGGAAGGGACUUUCUUCGUUCACGAUCACUGAGACCCAAGGGUAAAGAGCCCAGAUGCUGCAGCCGUGCCUCGUCAGGAAGGUGCUCCCGGCCCCUGAGCGUCUUGGUGGCCCUUUUCUGCCCCUUCUCCAGUUCUCCACCUGGGCUGAUCACCGGAGAUCCGUGGAAGAAGAGGAGCGCUGGGCCCUGCUCCCUCCGGGCCACGGUCUGGGGGCUCCUGAUGCAGCCGCCACCUUGAGGACCGAAGGACACCAGAAGCACAGCCCCUCAAGGAGGGCCCUCAAGCCCAGCUGCCCCGAGAAGCUCCCAGGCAGGAGCGGAGGGCAUGUCUUCAACUCACCGGGCUGGUGCUGAGGAGGCAGGCAUCUCGGCGGCAGGGUCUAGGCGGGAGACAGCCGGGGUCCCAGGAUGAAAGAAAGGCGGGUGGUGCGUGAAGACAUGGCUGGUUUUUACACGAAUGGAAAUGUCUGAGCACUCCAGCUGCUGAGAAAAAAGAAGGCCCCCAAGAAUUCCACACUCCGGUUCUGGAGACAGGCUGGGCAGAGGAGCUCCAAGGCCUGGGCGCCUUCCCGAGGGGGCCCACGGAACAGCCUGCCACUGUCCGGCAGAACUAGAGACCGCCAAGGAGCUCUUGAGGGGGUUAUUCCUGACUGCCAGCCCCAUUGACUCCCCCAGACCCCAGAACCCCCCUUCCUUUUAGGCCAGGAGGCCUCAGGGGGUCUCUUCCUGCCGCCACCCUCCUGACCAUCUCCUCUGGGCUUUGCUCCUCCCUGCAGAGAAGCAAACCUUGAGCAGACACGCAGGGGAAGCUGGCCAGGAACCAGCUGCUCCGGGGGGUGCUGUGCUGUGGCCCUCACCCCAUGUGCUGAUGCUGCGGUCCGGGGGCGGGGUGCAAGGGGUCAGGCAGAGCCAAGUGUGUGGGCAGAAAUGCUCUGGUGUAAAAGGGGGGCUUUUGAGACCCUAGACAUUUCCUCGAAGGUGCCCCUCCCCACCCCAAGCCUUUCCAGAAAGGAGCCCGUCUCUUUCUGCCCACCCAGACUGGCAUAAGUGGCAGGAGCAAGGGGUGGGGGGUGGGCUGGGCUGGGCUGGGCUGUCCAGCAGGGUCCAAAGAGGCUGAGCUGGGCCCCCCAAGUCAGACAGGAGCCUCGCUGUGGAGCGGGCUGCACAGUGGGCCUGGCAGCACCACUGCCCUCUUGCUGGGUCUUCACGGGGCACUUGCCGCCUCCGCCUCCUCCGCCUCCUCCUGAGCAGGUCAGAGGGAUGGAGAAGGGAGGCCUUUCCUGGCCUCCGCUCUGGCCUGCCGCUGCGCUAGAGGUCCUGGGGAUGAGCAGGGCGGGUCUGCGGCGGAGGUGGGGAUCCUGAGGAGGAAGGGCACUAGGUCCCCCCCGCCCCCACCAGAGCGCCUCCAAACCGGAGGCCAUCUGGGAGGUGGCGGCGGCCUCUGCAGUCCUUGGGGUCCCCACCUGUGCUGGGGGUGGCCCCAGGAGUCUCCCCCCUCCUCCUCCCCCCCCGGCCAAGCUCCGAGCGUCCGUCCGUGGGUGCUGCUGACCGGCCUUUGGGCCCAGAGCCCUGGCCCCUGCCGCGAGUGGGGAGCUGGGCUGCUCCAGGGGCCCCGUUCCCAAGGGCCCCCCUCCUGCCGGCUGAUCUGCUGCCCCCCGCCCAGCCCCCCCCCCCCCGGUGCCCUCCUGGCUGUGCCUUCCCAUUGGCUUCCUAAUGGCCUGCAUGGAAUGAUUCUGUGAUUGCAAUGAUAUAUAAAAUGCACAUCAGGGGAGAGAGACUGCUGUGAAAUGGGAGCGGUGAGGAGCGCUGUUACUGCAGCACCCCACAGACUGCCGUGCAAUGAAGAGGGAGCCCAGCUGGGAAGGAAACUGUUGCUCUGGGUAAAUGCAAACACACACCCCCCACACACACACACUGCCCCCCCUCCAGACGGAGGGGAGCUUGGAGGGAACCAGAAGCCCCCCCCGCCCAUCAGCAGUUGGGGUGCCUUGGAGAGCAGCCAGCCCCCACCUCCCAGGACUCGCUCCCAGAAGCGACAUUUGCUCAGCAGCCAGGAGCAGCCCGAGGGAGGAGCAGUGCUCUGCUACAGCAGGGCCCCAGUGGCGGCCCCAGAUUCAAUCUCCUCCGCAUUUUUGGCUGGCAAAGAUUAGCUAGGCGUUGGGUGUUCCUCCUCAACACCCGGAAUCCAGUGACUUCACAGUUGCUGUCAGCAUUGGGCCGUAUCUGGCAUGUCCCAGAUUUGAGACCUAACAUGCAACAGCCCGCAGCAGCUGGUAGCUGACAUGCAAUGGCAUUAGGAUGCUUGCUUCUAGUACCCGUGUCACCAGUUAGGAAACAUCCCUUGAACAGGUGGUGGGAGCCCUCCAACCGCAAGAAGGUUUCAGUGUCAGUUUCUGAUUCUGAACUCAAGUGGCCCAUUUGGAACCAAAUUUCUCUUCUCCUUCUCCUCCCUUGUUGACUCUGGAAGAGACCGUGAAAUAUGUUGCCCUUUAUUAUUACAUUUAUUUAUUUAUUACGAAUACAUAUUUAUUAUUUGCUUGUUUAUUAACAAGA